RNAcentral lists this ribosomal RNA (497 nucleotides) under uncultured bacterium. Its description in RNAcentral is "partial 16S ribosomal RNA". It matches the Rfam family "Bacterial small subunit ribosomal RNA", at positions 28 to 507 of the family's 1533-position model. The record is from RNAcentral.
GAUGAACGCUGGCGGCGUGCCUAAUACAUGCAAGUCGAGCGAACGGACGAGAAGCUUGCUUCUCUGCUGUUAGCGGCGGACGGGUGAGUAACACGUGGAUAACCUACCUAUAAUACUGGGAUAACUUCGGGAAACCGGAGCUAAUACCGGAUCAUAUUUUGAACCGCAUGGUUCAAAAGUGAAAGACGGUCUUGCUGUCACUUAUAGAUGGAUCCGCGCUGCAUUAGCUAGUUGGUAAGGUAACGGCUUACCAAGGCAACGAUGCAUAGCCGACCUGAGAGGGUGAUCGGCCACACUGGAACUGAGACACGGUCCAGACUCCUACGGGAGGCAGCAGUAGGGAAUCUUCCGCAAUGGGCGAAAGCCUGACGGAGCAACGCCGCGUGAGUGAUGAAGGUCUUCGGAUCGUAAAACUCUGUUAUUAGGGAAGAACAUAUGUGUAAGUAACUGUGCACAUCUUGACGGUACCUAAUCAGAAAGCCACGGCUAACUACGUG